This is a long non-coding RNA of Saccostrea cuccullata (small rock oyster), 100 nucleotides long. RefSeq lists it as uncharacterized. NCBI's taxonomy places the organism in Eukaryota, Metazoa, Mollusca, Bivalvia, Ostreida, Ostreidae. The record is from RefSeq and is a predicted model, not a curated record. The transcript is spliced from 3 exons.
CUCAGAGGAGAAAGAAAAAGUACUCACCAAAUAUAUUGAAAAGAUGAUUUUUUUCAACAUAUAUCAAGAAAGAAAUGAACUCUAUAAGAUUGCUCAGAGG